Molecule: long non-coding RNA, 1577 nt
Organism: Ipomoea triloba (trilobed morning glory)
Lineage: Eukaryota; Viridiplantae; Streptophyta; Magnoliopsida; Solanales; Convolvulaceae
Exons: 6
Source: RefSeq, a predicted model, not a curated record
GGAGAGCUGAUCUACAGCCUCAACUAAGUGAUCAAGCCGAGCCUCAAGCUCAAUAAUCAAGGAUGCAAAUGUGAUAGUGCUCUGGAGUCCCUUCAUCUCAGGCAUUUCUAAUGGCAGGGAAGGAAUGUCAAAGUUCUCUUCUAACAUGCUGUCUUCGAGAUCAGCCAAGUGAGUUGAGAUCUCAUCAAGUCUUUCAGUCGAGGCGUGAACCUUAGCUAGAAGACAGCCUUUAAGGCUUUGUUGCAUGCUUGAUAUAUCUUCGCCCAAAGCGCGAACUAGCUCUGCAGCCUGAGCUACUGCUUCCUGAAUCUCUUUCUGGAGUGUGAUCCUUAGAUUAUAUGGAGCCUGCAAUAAUUUAAAGAAAGCUUUCAAGAGUUCAACGUGUCACGACAAUUCUUGAUUGCAGGCUCAUCUGGGAACUCAUCUGAGACAGUCUUUGUGAACUUAAGGUAGCUCAGCCCAUCAUCUUCUAAAUACUUUCUAACACAUUCUGAAAAUUUUCCAGAUAGCUUCUGGUCACUAAUUAUCUUGUUAAAAUACAGUAAUUUUGUUUUUGUCCUUUUUUUUGUCUUUACCUUCAAGUGAGUCAGCCACUAUAUUGAAACUGGAAACAAGUUCUUUAUGUAACUGCUCCCCAGCCCAUAUUGGACAAACUAGCACAUUCACCAGGACUGCUACAAUUGCUCCAAUGGCAAUGGAGUAAAGUCUAUCCAUGGAAGUUUUUACUGGGUUUCCCAUCCGAUAUCCAGAAACAAUGAUCAAACAGGAUUUAGGUCACUUACCAAUGAGAAAGAUGCUGGUGCCUAUGAUAACAGCCUCAGCAACAGGGCCACUUCUUGAAGCUAUUUCAGCAAUGGCAGUGGCUAAUACUCCAGCAAUCAGACUUCCAAGUGCCCGGUUGAAUCCUCGAUUAAAUGUGGCACCUUAGAAGUACACGAAGGCGAGAUAAAUAAAGUUAAUCACUGCAAUUCUCAAAAACCUUUUGCAGUCAGUGUAUUCAAACAUCAUACCAACAGUGAGGAUAGACCAUAUAGCAUUGGCACCAAACACUUGAUAGGGAGCCGGAAACAAUAUCAGAAGUGAAACAAGCAGAACAGCUAGGCCAACUUUUAGGGCGAAAACCACUCUACUUGUGUCCUCUUUGCAGAAAUCUGAAACACGAGAAAACCACCCUUUGCAUUGGAAGAUAAUCUUGGAUAUCUUCUCUGCAAUUGAAGCCGGUAUAUUGAUCUCAAUACUACUACCCUUUUUUCCAUUCAUUCUCCAAUCUUAAAACCUGCACUAUGUUUAGAGUUCAACCCAAUGGAAAAAUGAGAAUAGAAGAUUUAAAGGGGAGAGUUGGAAUGAGUGGGUGAUGCAAGUAUAGGGGAGAAAGCGUGUAGGCAUCUAUCUAGCUUAGCUAUGGAGGAGAGGUGGAUGUAUGAGGGAAACAAAAUGAGACUUCAAUAAUGGAAAGGGAAGCUUGAAGUCAAAAUUCGGAUAAAAUAUGCUUUUAACCUCAAUAAUGCAGACAUUGACAGAGGAUUAUUAGAACAUAAAUAAUGAUAUGCCGAUGGAAUAUGUAGUUUAGUCCCUCA